UUGAACGCUGGCGGCAUGCCUUACACAUGCAAGUCGAACGGCAGCACGGGAGCAAUCCUGGUGGCGAGUGGCGAACGGGUGAGUAAUAUAUCGGAACGUGCCCGGUCGUGGGGGAUAACGUAGCGAAAGCUACGCUAAUACCGCAUACGAUCUACGGAUGAAAGCGGGGGAUCGCAAGACCUCGCGCGAUUGGAGCGGCCGAUAUCAGAUUAGGUAGUUGGUGAGGUAAAGGCUCACCAAGCCGACGAUCUGUAGCUGGUCUGAGAGGACGACCAGCCACACUGGGACUGAGACACGGCCCAGACUCCUACGGGAGGCAGCAGUGGGGAAUUUUGGACAAUGGGCGCAAGCCUGAUCCAGCAAUGCCGCGUGCAGGAUGAAGGCCUUCGGGUUGUAAACUGCUUUUGUACGGAACGAAACGGUGAGCUCUAAUACAGUUUGCUAAUGACGGUACCGUAAGAAUAAGCACCGGCUAACUACGUG
This 483-nucleotide ribosomal RNA is filed under the name uncultured bacterium. RNAcentral describes it as "bacterial SSU rRNA". It matches the Rfam family "Bacterial small subunit ribosomal RNA", at positions 30 to 507 of the family's 1533-position model. The record is from RNAcentral.